UACGUAGGCAGCGAGCGUUGUUCGGAAUUACUGGGCGUAAAGAGUGUGUAGGCGGUGCUCUAAGUUCGGUGUGAAAUCUCCUGGCUCAACUGGGAGGGUGCGCCGGAAACUGGAGUGCUUGAGCGUGGGAGAGGAAAGCGGAAUUCCUGGUGUAGCGGUGAAAUGCGUAGAGAUGUGGAGGAACACCGAUGGCGAAGGCAGCCUUCUGGG
This 210-nucleotide ribosomal RNA is filed under the name uncultured bacterium. Its description in RNAcentral is "partial 16S ribosomal RNA". It matches the Rfam family "Bacterial small subunit ribosomal RNA", at positions 524 to 733 of the family's 1533-position model. The record is from RNAcentral.